CCCAUGCUUCCAAGAAAAGCUUCUAAGCUUCAGGUAACCAGGAACCGUACCCCAAACCGACACAGGUGGUCGGGUAGAGAAUACCAAGGCGCUUGAGAGAACUCGGGUGAAGGAACUAGGCAAAAUGGCACCGUAACUUCGGGAGAAGGUGCGCCGGCUAGGGUGAAGGAUUUACUCCGUAAGCUCUGGCUGGUCGAAGAUACCAGGCCGCUGCGACUGUUUAUUAAAAACACAGCACUCUGCAAACACGAAAGUGGACGUAUAGGGUGUGACGCCUCCCCGGUGCCGGAAGGUUAAUUGAUGGGGUUAGCGCAAGCGAAGCUCUUGAUCGAAGCCCCGGUAAACGGCGGCCGUAACGAUAACGGUCCUAAGGUAGCGAAAUUCCUUGUCGGGUAAGUUCCGACCUGCACGAAUGGCGUAACGAUGGCGGCGCUGUCUCCACCCGAGACUCAGUGAAAUUGAAAUCGCUGUGAAGAUGCAGUGUAUCCGCGGCUAGACGGAAAGACCCCGUGAACCUUUACUGUAGCUUUGCACUGGACUUUGAGCCUGCUUGUGUAGGAUAGGUGGGAGGCUUUGAAGCGUGGACGCCAGUUCGCGUGGAGCCAUCCUUGAAAUACCACCCUGGCAUGCUUGAGGUUCUAACUCUGGUCCGUAAUCCGGAUCGAGGACAGUGUAUGGUGGGCAGUUUGACUGGGGCGGUCUCCUCCUAAAGAGUAGCGGAGGAGUACGAAGGUGCGCUCAGACCGGUCGAAAAUCGGUCGCAGAGUAUAAAGGCAAAAGCGCGCUUGACUGCGAGACAGACACGUCGAGCAGGUACGAAAGUAGGUCUUAGUGAUCCGGUGGUUCUGUAUGGAAGGGCCAUCGCUCAACGGAUAAAAGGUACUCCGGGGAUAACAGGCUGAUACCGCCCAAGAGUUCAUAUCGACGGCGGUGUUUGGCACCUCGAUGUCGGCUCAUCACAUCCUGGGGCUGAAGCCGGUCCCAAGGGUAUGGCUGUUCGCCAUUUAAAGUGGUACGCGAGCUGGGUUUAGAACGUCGUGAGACAGUUCGGUCCCUAUCUGCCGUGGACGUUUGAGAUUUGAGAGGGGCUGCUCCUAGUACGAGAGGACCGGAGUGGACGAACCUCUGGUGUUCCGGUUGUCACGCCAGUGGCAUUGCCGGGUAGCUAUGUUCGGAAAAGAUAACCGCUGAAAGCAUCUAAGCGGGAAACUUGCCUCAAGAUGAGAUCUCACUGGGAACUUGAUUCCCCUGAAGGGCCGUCGAAGACUACGACGUUGAUAGGCUGGGUGUGUAAGCGUUGUGAGGCGUUGAGCUAACCAGUACUAAUUGCCCGUGAGGCUUGACC
RNAcentral lists this ribosomal RNA (1345 nucleotides) under metagenome. RNAcentral describes it as "bacterial LSU rRNA". It matches the Rfam family "Bacterial large subunit ribosomal RNA", at positions 1599 to 2925 of the family's 2925-position model. The record is from RNAcentral.